CAACAUUUGCUAUGCUGACGUCAUUACUGUCAGUCAGACAGAAAUAAAAGAAAAAUGGAUGCCGUUCAGACGUACACGCAUUAUUUGGAACUGAAAAUUACGUAAUUUAUCGACCUGCUGGCUUGUAUUUGUUAUAAAUCAUAAAAAAAUUAUGGAAAACAUCAUGAACAAUAAUGAAACAAACCGAACCUUUAGCUACAAUAAUAAAAUGACCCCAUGACGCCAGUGGAACUACGUGGUUUUCUUUCAUGAUGAUUUGAUGAUACCAUAAUGGAAUUAGCCAAGUUUUCGCCGUAUUGGGUGCUAGAUGCCCCUUGGAGUUAAGCCCAGUGCCACUAUACUACCUUACCAGUUAUGUGUGGGUGUCCUAAGGCACCCCAGAGAUGCAAAGGACCUUCACAAACUCACGCCACGCCUUCCUAUCUUCAGCAACCCUCGUGACCUCGCUCCACCAGCUCAAACCUGCCACUCACAGCUCCUUUUCGACGGACCGCUUCCAUGAGUAGACAAGGCACCGACGAUCACGGCUUGCAUCACCUGUACUGCUAUGUAAUAUAGCAUGCUGAACAAUACUGCCAUUAUACUAGGAUCAACGUCCUGCCCCUUCCCCGGCUGUGUACAAAUUGGAACUCCAUUUGCAUGCCCCUUUGACUGAGCAAUGUGUGUAUGUGCUCGAAACACAUUCACUUGCAACAGAAUGACUCCCAGGCUGACCUGGCUCAGCUCCUGUAUGUCUGUUCUACAUAGACAAUGGUUUCAAUGAAAGAGUGAAAAUUCUUCUCCAUGUACAAUCACUUCUAACGCCUACACUGACUACACCAAAUAUGAUCAUCACUCAACGUGUCUCACAUCAAGAUACUUUUCAAAAAUCAUCAAGAAGUGGAACAAUAUUUUUUUUUCCAUUAUUGCCUGAAUAAUCCUAACUAAAAGUUAUUUCUCUAUUCUAUUUUUCCUGCAUGGAGUGGCGCUUUUCCGUCUAAUGGAAACGAAAUGAACAUAUAUGCUCUGGGUUUUUUUUUUUUGUGCACCUUUCCAAUAUUACUAAUAAAGCAUUU
RNAcentral lists this long non-coding RNA (1055 nucleotides) under Leguminivora glycinivorella. RNAcentral describes it as "uncharacterized LOC125228956". The record is from RNAcentral. Lineage: Eukaryota; Metazoa; Arthropoda; Insecta; Lepidoptera; Tortricidae.